UCUCUUCCUUCCGCUCGUCCCCGCGUCUGUCUUCCUCUCCUCCCCGUUUCUCUCUUCCUCUCCUCCCUGCUUCUGUCUUCCUCUCCAGCCUGGCACUGCUGCUUGCUUACACCUGUGUUUCUCUUCCUCCCUUCCCAGGGUCCCCUUCUGCCCUUUUCCACUUCUCUCCUGCUUCUCCAUGCUUUGCUGUCCAUGGUGAAUCUGUAUAUUCUUGCUUUCGUUUUGUCCACCACCCCAAUUCUCUACAACAGGAGUCCCUGACCCCGGCCACAGACAGGUCCGUGGCCUCUUAGGAACCGGCCGCACAGCAGAGGUGAGCGGGGCGAACCAGCAAAGCCUCGUCUGUAUUUACAGCUGCUCCCCUCACUCACAUGAUCACCUGAGCUCCCCUCCUGUCAGAUCGGCAGUGGCAUUAGCAUCUCAUAGGAGCUGAACCCUACUGUGAACUGUGCGUGUGAGGGAUGUGGGCUUUGUGCUCCUUAUGAAAAUCCAAUGCCAGAAGAUCUGCACUGUCCCCCACCCCCCCCCAGAUGGAACCGUCUAGUGCAGGAAAACAAGCUCUGGGGUCUCACUGAUUCUACGUUAUGGCACCAGGACUGCUCCCUGAGUGGGCAGAAAACCAGGGCAUCCAGCUGCAGUGACAGGAGGCAAGGCAGAGACCCACAGGGUGCAGGGAGCUGGCUUUAUAAGGCACACAGGAGCUGCAGGUGCUUUGUUAAGAGCCAAAACUGGCACAAUUUGAGAAGCAAAAUGAAGUUAUUGAAUCAUCACCCAAAGUAAAAAAUAAAUGUACAAGUCCACACUGACAUAAACAAAUUACAAGAUAAAUUAGAAAUGGGAGAGAACGACCAGCUCCCCAUGCAUGGGACUUCCAAGUAAUCCAGGCCAACAUGCCGCUUUAUGGGUGGUGCGAGACUCCUUGCUCCAUCCCCGCGGUCUGGGCACAGCAGCUCCCUCCCGAAGAGGAUGGUUUGGAAGCAGCACAAAGGAUGGACCUCACCAUGGAGGAAGCUGAGCACUGACUCAGCUGAGUCCAGGACAGCAGUGGCGGGUGAGCCAGGCUGCGUGGGCCUCAGACUCUGACGGAGGUGCACCUUCACCUCCGUGCCCUUUCUCCAAAGGACAUGUAACUUCAGUCUAACCCCGGGGAAAACGCCAGGCAAAUCCCAGUGGAGGGAAGUCCUACAAACACGUGACAAGUGCUCCUCAGAACUGCCAGGGCCACCAGGAUCAAGCAAAAUCUGAGAAACUCACAGCUGAGAAGGAGCCAAGGAGGCACGACCCACCCUGAGAGGCUUCAGGUGAAACCCUGAAAGAGGAGGGGCCUCAGAGUCUUGCUCUGUCACCCUGGCUGGAAUGCAGUGGUACAAUCUCGGCUCACUGCAAUCUCCGCCUCCCAGUUUCAAGUGAUUCUCCUGCCUCAGCCUCCUGAGUAACUGGGAUUACAGGUAUGCACCACCACACCUGGCUAAGUUUUGAAUUUUUAGUAGAGACGGAGCUUCACCAUGUUGGCCAGGCUGGUCUGGAACUCCUGACCUCAAAUGAUGUACCUGCGUGGGCCUCCCAAAGUGCUGAGAUGACAGAUGUACACCACCUUGCCCAGCCCCAGACAUUGCUUUCUAUUGAUCUCAGGUCUUCAGAUAAACUCAACCACUUGUUAACCAAUAAAUUUUUGAACCCACCUCUAAGCUGGAAGCCCCGCUUCAACUUGCCCCACCUUUCUGGCCCAAACCAAUCUAUUUGACGUCUCAUGUCUCUCUAAAGUGUAUAAAACCAAGCUGCCCCCCGACCGCUUUGGGCACAUGUUCUCGGGGCCGCCUGAGGGUUGUGUCACGGACCAUGGUCACUUAUAUUUGGCCAAGAAUAAAUCUCUUCAAAUAUUUUACACAGUUUGAUUCUUCUUUGACAGAGGAGUUAAACUGCCACCUUAAAGAAAAAAAAAAAGUCUUACUUAAUCCAAAGUAAGACAGGAAAAAAGGAAGCGAGAAUAAAAGAACAAAAGACUUAAUAGCCGAUGAUACAAGAUGGUGGACAGGGCAGGGGAGUGUGCGGGCGGAGGAAGACUGGGCAGCAGGAAGACAGGUGGCUGCGAAGGAGAAGAGUGUGUGGCAAGAACCGUGGACACACAGCAAACAUCAAAGCCCAGCAAAAUAGAGAGGCACGGAAACCACCCCUGACAUCCACUGUCCUUCCUAGACAUCCCCACAGUGGGGCAGCAUUCUCAGUUAUUAACAUGCCAGUUACGUGAAGAAAUUGCUCUGAAGUCAACGGCAGGUUGUCCAGUUAAGGAACGAGAGGAACUAGACAUGAUUUUUAGUAUCAUUGGUUUUCAUUUGGCUCAACUGCACCAAGGCCUAAUCUUUUCGAUGGUGAAUUGAAACACUGUUUCCAAGCAAGCAAACGCAUGGCCUCAGUUCCCUCACUGAAUAUAAAAAUUCUCAGGCAAGCCAUUUGAUGUAAAAAUAAUGGCUAUUCCAAAAGGCCAUUCUUAUAAGCUGUAAGACAUUUAUGACUAAGCUAUGUGUGAAAAGAUUUCAACUUGAACACACACUAAGUGGAAUGUGCUAUUUCUAUCAAGGUAUUUUAAGCUGUAGUAAUGUCUGACUUAAUUCUUUUUACAUGUUGAUGGCUUUCCAGGGGCUCUGCCAGUUCUCCUGGCUGCCUUCUGCAUCAGUACGCUCAGGGUAGAAGUGGUAGUGUGUAUCUUUCCUCAAACAAGCAGAAAUAAAAGUAAAAGUUGUCAAAGGCUUAGAGUUAACACGCUGUCUUUGGAGGUCACUGCCUCUGCAUAGCCUGAGGGUCUUUGUUCCAAGGAGUUCCUUCUGAAGGAGAUGCACGAACCUGAAGUUCUUGGUGCUCCCCGCGAUUGGAACCACUCACACGUGUUGGCUCCAAGUUUGAUCCCAGAAAGGGUGAGCACAGGGAACCCCCAAGCAGACCGUCAUGCUGUGCAUCCCUCACUGGCAAUGUGACUCCACGGAAACAGCAAGGAUUUGGAGAUCAGAGAUGUGGGCUCCAACCCAGGUCGCCUCAUGUGUGAAGUUGGGAAAAUGAGAGCCUUAGCAGAGGACUGUGGGGAUUCAAUGGCAGCAAGCUUCUAGCACGGGCCUGCUCUGACAGGUAGCAGUGAAGAUCCUUUUUGUUGAUAAAAAGAGUCAAACUCUGUAAAAUAUUGGAAGAGAUUUAUUCUGAGCCAAAGAUAGUGACUGUUGCCUAUGACACAGCCCUCAGGGGGUCCUCAGAACGUGCGCCCAGGGUGGUCAGGGUGCAGCUUGGUUCUAUACAUUUUAGGGAGGCAGGAGACAUCAAUCAAAUACAUUCAGAAAAGACAUUGAUUUAGUUCAAAAGGGUGGGACUGGUUAUAGUUUCAAUUUUCUGGUUAACAACUGGUUGAGUUCACUUACCUGAGAUCAACAGAAAGGAAAUGUCUGGGUAAGAGGCUGGGGAGACCGAAGGGUUUUCCUGCAGACAAGCGUCCAGGUAGCAGCCUUCUGGAGAAGGAUUGUAAAUGUUUCUGACAGUGCUGAGGUUAUGGCUGGAGGGUGUAAUGAGGCCUGUCCCGCCCCCGCUUCCCAUCAUGGACUGAACCAGCCUUCCAGGUCACUUGUUAGAGCACCCUGGCUGACGAGGAAGGCCACGGAGAUGGUUGAGGGGCCUUCAAGAUGUAUUUUUGGUUUACAGCUUCUUUGUUCCUUCUGCAGUGACUCUGACCACACUUUGAUUUACUGCAGCUGUUCUCAGAUGUGAUUCUCUCUUGAACCCCACAGACGUUUUACUGAUUUUCUGCUGUGAUAACCAGUUUUCUUGGCAGCUGAGUUCCCAGUUCCUAAGCACCGUGAUCCCCAUGCUCUGUGUUCUGUAACCAGGACCAGACUUCCCACAUGCCCAACACCCACGUAGUUAUUCAGAGCUUUAUUCUUACCUGCAAGCAUAGAUUGGAAAAUUAAAAAAAAAAAAAAAUCUUUCAGGUUAUCACCCUUUUUCAGUCAUGUAGAGUUUUAGGGUGUUGGUAGAGGUGAUCCCCAAAAUGUUUUUAAAGACAAUAAACAACCCUUAUGUUUUCUUUCCUUUUCAUUUUUUUUUUCAGUUCUCCGGGAUUUGAUUUGUUGCUUUGUAAAAAUACCUGCUGGAGGUAAUUCGAGAGGUCUUUUAACUGAUAAACGGAUGACUUUCAAAUUGAGAUCUUAAAAACCUGAGUGAAUAUGCAAGAAAAUGAACUGUUAUUUGAUAUUUUCUCUUCCUUGUUUGCCAUAAUUAUUUAGGCUUCUCUGGUAAAAAUAAGUGGAUAUUUUUGGUAACUACUUAUAUGUACUUUUCAGCUUGAUUUAGUAUAGCACUUAAAUGAACGCUUUAGCCGGCUUUCAUUUUGGGUGUAGAAGUUAAUUAUUCAGCCUUUCUGAUAGCAAAACAGGAAGAAUACAAUAACAUGAAAAUCAGAUUUAAAUGACACAUUGUCAAAGCAAUAAAUUUCCUUGGUUAUUUAUUGCUACAAAAUCUGAUAAAUUUGGUGAGUUAAAACAGUAAUUGGAACAAAAAUUCUAUAUGUAAAUUUCAGUGAAUUUGGUGUGUAUCAAGUUUAUAAGGUUAAUUAGAAUAUACGCUCUUCAGCCUAUAGCUUCCCUUGGAUGAGGUAUAGUUACAGUGCUUGCUGAGUAUUUUAUCAUAACUAAAUAAUAUGUUGCCAUUUUGUGGAGUAAAUCUGUUGAAGGAAUGGUCAGAUACUAAAUCACCGUAGGAGGCUGAGGGGUGAAAGUAUCACUGUGUAACAAUUUUCAUGUAUUUAAGUGAUAAUGCCACUUAUUUUACCCAAUCUAAGUAUUACAGUUUAAUUUACUAUAGUCACAUAAUAAGUAGAAAAAGCAAAGCUAAUUAGCCUUGGAUAACGUCCCUUUCAUACACUAAGUGGCAUGGAAUGAGGAGGGCUGGAUUGGCAUGGGGGCUGCCGCAGCAUCCACUAAAUUCCAGGUUCUGGAAGGAGUUAGAGAGAAGCAGCAAACCCUUACUGUUCGGAACCCUGGAAAUCUGAGACAGGUCUCAGUUAAUGUGGGAAGUUUAUUUUGCCAAGAUUGAGGAUGUGGGCCCAUGACACAGCCUCAGGAGGUGCCAAUGACAUGUGCCCAAGGUAGGCAGGUUGCUUUUAUGCAUUUUAGGGAGAGACGAAACAUCAAUCAACAUGUGUAAGAUGAACGUUGGUUCCGUCCAGAAAAGUGGGACAACUCAAAGCAAAGGCAGAACUACUCGAAGUGAGGAAGGAGUUUCCAGGGCAUAGGUAGAUAAGACACAAAGGGUUGCCAUCUUCCAAGCUGCUGAGUCGCCUCUCCAAAGGAGGAAUCGGAUUUGCAUUUAUCUAAGUGAGCGGAAGGGUGGCUGAAUAGAAUGGGAGGCAGGUUUGCCCUAAGCGGUUCCCAGUGGACUUUUCCCUUUAGCUUAGUGAUGUGGGGGCCCCAAGACGCAUUUUCCUUUAACACUGUGGGUGCCGGAGGACCGCACGGUCGCCAAAGGGUUAGCUUCCUCGUGGCAUCUUGCUGCACUACCCUCAUCUUCCCCCAAGCCAGGCGUGUUUCUGUUUUUUAAAGUAACGAUGGAAGACAGAUUCACAAAUAAUAAAAUAUACUUUGUUUGUACUGCAGUGGAUUCUGGCCAGUAUAAACAAUGGUAUAUUGUGACCAGAUCGAGGGGCCUGACAACGAGUCGUCCUCGUUCUCCACACGUUGAACACAGAAUUGAACAGCACGCGAGCGCGAACAACGAAAGCAGAGAUUUAUUAAAGCAAAAGACAACAGAAGCAGAGACGCAUAAAGGCCACAGGAUGGGGGAGCCUCAAGCAAGGGGCCCAAGAGCUCUGGUUACAAAAUUAUCUGGGGUUUAAAUACCCUCUAGAGGUUUUCCAUUGGUUAAACUUUAUGUAAACGAUGGAUUGAAGUGGGGCUUUGGCUCACUGCCAAUCAGAGGCUGAAAUAGAUUGGCACGUUAUGCAAAUGAAGAAUUUCCCACUCUUGCCCUGUGGCCAGUCAGAGUUUGAAGUGAAUUAGCGCAUUAUGCAAAUGAAGGAUUGAUCCGUGCUUGCCCUGUGGCCAAUCAGAGGUACUCUCCGUUUUUCAGUGGGAGAGGUUGGUGUAGAGGGAGUAGCCUCUGAUCCUUUGUCAUUUAGGCGUGAAGAGGUGGGGUUUUCUGAUGCAGUUCUAGGAAGUCAGAGCCGAUCGCCCUCAGGUUCCCUGCCUCCAGACCCUAUUCCCUUGACUCAUAGUCACCAUACCAUGAAGACACAGCACAGUCCCGUCCUCCCAGUGGCCUCUCCCAGUCCAUCCCCUCCACCAAGCCCAAGGCAACCACUGUCUAUAAACGGAUUUGGUGAGUCCUUCCUAGGUUUCACAGAAAUUGAAAUACACAUUAUUGUAGUUUUUUGGUCUGGCUUCCUUUGUUCAGUACAAUGUUUCUGAGCUAAUCCACCUUUUUGUUGACAUCAAUAAUUUAUGAAUUUUAAUUGCCGCAUUGUACUGCAUCAUACGGGCACACGGCACUUUGUGUGUUCAUUCACUGCUGAUGGGCAUAUGGAUUAUUUCCAGCUGUUGUCCAUUAUCAAUAAAACUCCAUGAUCAUUCCCAUGAAAGCCUUUUGUGGGCAUACAUUGUCACCUCUUCUUUGUAAAUACCUAGUUGUAGAAUUUCCGGGUCGUCAGGAAAGUGCAUGCUUAACCCUAAAAAGCCUGCUCGAUUGCUGUUGAAAGUGGUUAUACCGUUUCACAUCCCCACCAGCAAAGAGAAGGCCUUUCAGCUGCCAAAAAUCGUCUUCACUAUUGAAAGACUGUUAGCAGCUGCUUGAAUUAGACAUAUUUCAGUCAUUAUGGCUCCAACACUUAUUCAUUGAUGACUUCAGAUGCUCAACAUCUUUCCAUGUGCUUAUGACAGUUGGUCCUUCUGGAAAGUAUCUGUUUGAAUAUUUUCCUCGUUUUUCAUUGCUUUGUUUAUCACGUCGAGUUGCAAGUGCUGUCUACAUGGCUGGCCACAGGCUACUGAUUUAUGUCGCUUGCCUUUUCAUCCCUUUCAUUUUUUCAAGAGCAGAAACUUUUAGCUCUGAUAAAGUUCAAUUUAUCACAUUUUUCUUCUAUUAUACAUUUAUUUUGUUUCCUGUUGAGAAAUAACCACAAAGUCUCAAGUAAUUUUUUUCGUAAUUCUCUGACAUUCAUCGUUUUUGCUUUUAUGCUUAGUUCUACAAUACGUUUUUUUUUGAGACAGCCUUGAUCUGUCGCCCAGUCUGGCAUGAUCUCAGCCCGCUGCAAUCUCUGCCUCCUGGGUUCAAGUGAUUCUUGUGCCUUAGUCUCUCAAAUAGCUGGGAUUAUAGGAGAAUAUCACCAUGCCUGGAUAAUAUUUUAUAUUUUUAGUAGAGGCUGGAUUUCACUGUGUUGGCCAGGUUGGUCUGGAACUCCUGGCCUCAAGCGAUCGCUCACCUCAGUGUCCCAAAGUGCUGGGAUUACAGGCGUGAGCCGUAGCCAGCCAGCAAGGUAUUCCCAACUGAUAUUUGUCAUGUGUGUGAGAUGCAAGUGUUGAGAUGUAAAUGUCGAAGUGUUUUCCCCGCAUUUUAGUUCAGUCAUUCCAACAUCCUUUGCUAGAAACACUCAUUUCUCUCAUUGAUUAGUACUGCCAAACUCAUCAAAAAGUCAACGGCCAUAUGCGUGUAAGUCCAUUUCUGAAUGCUCUGCUCUGUGCUUAGAUAAAUAUGUCUAUCUUGUCAUAUCCCACUCCCUUCAUUUUUGUAUAUUUAUGCAAUUUUUGAAAUCAGAUGGUGAAACACGGAUUUUUAAAGUUUUUUUUUGACACUUUAGAUCCUUUGUAUUCUCAUGUAAUUUUACAAUCAGCUUGUCGAUUUCUAAAAAAAAAGACUUUGGGGAAUGUUAAAUAAAAUUGUUUGGAGUCUGUCAAUAUCUCAUUAAGCAAAGUUACCACUAUAAUAACAUCGAGCCUUUUGAUUUAUGAACAUCUCUCUCUCCAUUUAUUCAGAUCUUCGUUAAUUCAGUCUCCCAGAAGUCAUUUUCGGAUGCCAAUUUGUAGAUCUUGCUUAUAUUUUAGGCUUAUCUUUAAGCAUGUCAUAUUUUGAUGCUACUGUAAACGGGACUUCAACUUCAAAUUUCCAUUUUUAAUAGUCUGUGGGAAUAAGUGAUAUUUAUCUUAUGUUUCUGUUUUGAAAUGGAGUCUAGCUGUGUCACCCAGGCUGGAGUGCAGUGGCUCCAUCUUGCUCACUCCAGCCUCCCCUCCUGGGUUCAAGUGAUUCUCCCACCUCAGCCUCCUGAGUAGCUGGGACCACAGGCAUGUGUCACCAAGCACAGCUGAUAUUUACAUUGUUAUUUGUUGCUCAGAAAUCUUGCUAAGUACACUAGUUAGUUCUAGUCUCUAUUUCAUAGAGUCUUUAGGAUUUCCCAUGCCCAUGAUCAUACCAUUUGUUUCACUAGUUCUUUUCCAAUGUAUAUGCCCUUUGUCCCUUGUUUCUGCCUUAUUACAUGGACUACGAUCUGGAAUUUUUGGUUAAAAAGUUUUCAGUUUUGUUUUCUAGUAUGUAAAGGUUUUUUAGGUCUUCUAUUUUUUCUUAAGACAACUCUGGCAAUUUAUGUCUUUCUAGGAAUUUAUCCAUUUAACAUCAAAUUAGUGUGAAAUUAUACAUAAAAUUCCUUUAUUAUUCUCUUAAAUCUGUAGAAUCUUCAGAAAGUCUUCCUUUCACCUCUAUUCUCAGUGGAGUGAUUCUUCCCUCAUUUAUUAUUAUUCAGUCUGGCUAGAGUUUUAAAGAUUGUAUUGAUCUUUUUGGACCAGUUUUGGAUGAUUUUCUGUUUCAGUGAUGUGGGUUGUCUUCCUUUUCUCUUUCUCUGUCUAUUUUCUGUUUCAGUGAUGUGGGUUGUCUUCCUUUUCUCUUUCUCUGUCUAUUUUCUGUUUCAGUGAUGUGGGUUGUCUUCCUUUUCUCUUUCUCUGUCUAUUUUCUGUUUCAGUGAUGUGGGUUGUCUUCCUUUUCUCUUUCUCUGUCUAUUUUCUGUUUCAGUGAUGUGGGUUGUCUUCCUUUUCUCUUUCUCUGUCUAUUUUCUGUUUCAGUGAUGUGGGUUGCCUUCCUUUUCUCUUUCUCUAUUUUUUGUUUCAGUGAUGUGGACUGCCUUCCUUUUCUCUUUCUCUGUCUAUUUUUUGUUUCAGUGAUGUGGACUGCCUUCCUUUUCUCUUUCUCUGUCUAUUUUCUGUUUCAGUGAUGUGGACUGCCUUCCUUUUCUCUUUCUCUGUCUAUUUUCUGUUUCAGUGAUGUGGGUUGUCUUCCUUUUCUCUUUCUCUGUCUAUUUUCUGUUUCAGUGAUGUGGGUUGUCUUCCUUUUCUCUUUCAUUGUAUUUACUUCAUGUGCUCUGAUCCUCCUUUUCAGGUUCUUGAAGACAUUUUUAUCAUGACUUUCACAUAAGCACUUCAAGUACGGUAGUACCUCUAAGCAUUUCCUCAUUUAUAGUUCAAACUUUUUAUACUUUUGUUUUAUUUUUAUUAGUUUUUAAAAUGUGUUCCCUGUGGCUUAUUUUUUUUGUCCCAUGGGUUACUUUAAAAAG
This is a long non-coding RNA of Callithrix jacchus (white-tufted-ear marmoset), 9562 nucleotides long. RefSeq lists it as uncharacterized. The record is from RefSeq and is a predicted model, not a curated record. Lineage: Eukaryota; Metazoa; Chordata; Mammalia; Primates; Cebidae.